Molecule: ribosomal RNA, 486 nt
Filed under: uncultured bacterium
Lineage: Bacteria
Description: partial 16S ribosomal RNA
Rfam family: Bacterial small subunit ribosomal RNA
Source: RNAcentral
AUUGAACGCUGGCGGCAUGCCUUACACAUGCAAGUCGAACGGCAGCACGGGUGCUUGCACCUGGUGGCGAGUGGCGAACGGGUGAGUAAUACAUCGGAACAUGUCCUGUAGUGGGGGAUAGCCCGGCGAAAGCCGGAUUAAUACCGCAUACGAUCUACGGAUGAAAGCGGGGGACCUUCGGGCCUCGCGCUAUAGGGUUGGCCGAUGGCUGAUUAGCUAGUUGUUGGGGUAAAGGCCUACCAAGGCGACGAUCAGUAGCUGGUCUGAGAGGACGACCAGCCACACUGGAACUGAGACAAGGCCCAGACUCCUAAGGGAGGCAGCAGUGGGGAAUUUUGGACAAUGGGCGAAAGCCUGAUCCAGCAAUGCCGCGUGUGUGAAGAAGGCCUUCGGGUUGUAAAGCACUUUUGUCCGGAAAGAAAUCCUUGGCCCUAAUACGGUCGGGGGAUGACGGUACCGGAAGAAUAAGCACCGGCUAACUACGUG